RNAcentral lists this long non-coding RNA (263 nucleotides) under Mytilus galloprovincialis (Mediterranean mussel). Lineage: Eukaryota; Metazoa; Mollusca; Bivalvia; Mytilida; Mytilidae. The record is from RNAcentral.
GUGUCUAAAUGCUGUAGUAAUACACGAACAUUCAUACAACCUGCUUGUAUCAUGUAAUUCACUAUGUCCUAUCUGCUUUCCAAAAUUGGUAUUUGACCCAGUUUACACAAUAAUUUAUGUCUACCAUUGUUUUUAAGUGACAGGAUAUUAUCAACAGUAUAAUUUAUAUGAUGUUUAAAUCGUGUUUCGAUUGAGACGUUUGCCACGAAACCUAUUAUUAUGUUGAUUUUUAUCAACAAUAUUCGUGAUCUCGAAAGAAUAAG